UACGGAAGGCAGCAGUGGGGAAUAUUGCACAAUGGGCGAAAGCCUGAUGCAGCUAUGCCGCGUGUAUGAAGAAGGCCUUAGGGUUGUAAAGUACUUUCAUCGGGGAGGAAAAAACAAAACUAAUAAUUUUAUUUCUUGACGUUACCCGAAAAAGAAGCACCGACUAACUCCGUGCCAGCAGCCGCGGUAAUACGGAGGGUGCUAGCGUUAAUCAGAAUUACUGGGCGUAAAGAGCACGUAGGUGGUUUUUUUAAGUCAGAUGUGAAAUCCCUGGGCUUAACCUGGAACUGCAUUUUGAAACUGAAAUACUAGAGUAUCGUAGAGGGAGGUAGAAUUCUAGGUGUAGCGGUGAAAUGCGUAGAUAUCUGGAGGAAUACCUGUGGCGAAAGCGGCCUCCUAAACGAAUACUGACACUGAGGUGCGAAAGCGUGGGGAGCAAACAGGGAUUAGAUA
Molecule: ribosomal RNA, 453 nt
Filed under: uncultured bacterium
Lineage: Bacteria
Description: bacterial SSU rRNA
Rfam family: Bacterial small subunit ribosomal RNA
Source: RNAcentral